This 460-nucleotide ribosomal RNA is filed under the name uncultured bacterium. Its description in RNAcentral is "partial 16S ribosomal RNA". It matches the Rfam family "Bacterial small subunit ribosomal RNA", at positions 338 to 795 of the family's 1533-position model. The record is from RNAcentral.
CCUACGGGAGGCAGCAGUGAGGAAUAUUGGUCAAUGGGCGUAAGCCUGAACCAGCGAAGUCGCGUGAGGGAUGAAGGUUCUAUGGAUCGUAAGCCUCUUUUAUAAGGGAAUAAAGUGCGGGACGUGUCCCGUAUUGUAUGUACCUUAUGAAUAAGGAUCGGCUAACUCCGUGCCAGCAGCCGCGGUAAUACGGAGGAUCCGAGCGUUAUCCGGAUUUAUUGGGUUUAAAGGGUGCGUAGGCGGCCUUUUAAGUCAGCGGUGAAAGUCGGUGGCUCAACCAUGGAAUUGCCGUUGAAACUGGGAGGCUUGAGUAUGUUUGAGGCAGGCGGAAUGCGUGGUGUAGCGGUGAAAUGCUUAGAUAUCACGCAGAACCCCGAUUGCGAAGGCAGCCUGCCAAGCCAUGACUGACGCUGAUGCACGAAAGCGUGGGGAUCAAACAGGAUUAGAUACCCUUGUAGUC